RNAcentral lists this ribosomal RNA (459 nucleotides) under uncultured bacterium. RNAcentral's name for it is "partial 16S ribosomal RNA". It matches the Rfam family "Bacterial small subunit ribosomal RNA", at positions 338 to 795 of the family's 1533-position model. The record is from RNAcentral.
CCUACGGGUGGCAGCAGUGAGGAAUAUUGGUCAAUGGUCGAAAGUCUGAACCAGCCAAGUAGCGUGAAGGAUGACUGCCCUAUGGGUUGUAAACUUCUUUUAUAUGGGAAUAAAAUGUUCCACGUGUGGGAUUUUGUAUGUACCAUAUGAAUAAGGAACGGCUAACUCCGUGCCAGCAGCCGCGGUAAUACGGAGGAUCCGAGCGUUAUCCGGAUUUAUUGGGUUUAAAGGGAGCGUAGGUGGGAUGCUAAGUCGGCGGGAAAAGUGGGGUGCUCAACGCCGGCAAGCCGUGGAAACUGGCGUGCUUGAGUGCGCGGGAGGUAUGCGGAAUGCGUGGUGUAGCGGUGAAAUGCAUAGAUAUCACGCAGAACUCCGAUUGCGAAGGCAGCUUACUGAACUGUAACUGACGCUGAAGCUCGAAAGCGUGGGGAUCAAACAGGAUUAGAUACCCCAGUAGUC